Molecule: long non-coding RNA, 136 nt
Filed under: Mus pahari (shrew mouse)
Lineage: Eukaryota; Metazoa; Chordata; Mammalia; Rodentia; Muridae
Description: sRNA (MGP_PahariEiJ_G0008138.1)
Rfam family: Embryonic ventral forebrain-2 long ncRNA
Source: RNAcentral
AAUUUCACACCUGGAUGUGCUCACUCAACCAAGAAUAGAGAGACAGAGCUUCUGCCCCAAGAAAAAUACUCUCCUGUGCCUCCGCUCAGUAUAGAUUUCUAGACCCUGAUCAUUGCUUAAGAGAUAUUCACCGGGG